This 230-nucleotide ribosomal RNA is filed under the name uncultured bacterium. Its description in RNAcentral is "partial 16S ribosomal RNA". It matches the Rfam family "Bacterial small subunit ribosomal RNA", at positions 32 to 258 of the family's 1533-position model. The record is from RNAcentral.
AAUCAACGCUGGCGGCGUGCCUAACACAUGCAAGUCGAACGCGAAAGUCCCGCAAGGGAUCAGUAGAGUGGCAAACGGGUGAGUAACACGUGGGUGACCUGCCCUCAGCUCUGGGAUAAGCCUGGGAAACCGGGUCUAAUACCGGAUAUGACUCCAUGACGCAUGUUGUGGGGUGGAAAGCCUUGUGCGGCUGAGGAUGGGCCCGCGGCCUAUCAGCUUGUUGGGGGGUG